AAAACAUAGCCCUAGAUAAAAUCUAAGGUGUAACCUGCCCAGUGGUUUUUAAAUAAUAAUUAAAAAAAUUAAAAAUAAAACUAAAAGGACGCGGUAACCUUGACCGUGAUAAUGUAGCAUAAUCACUCGCCAUUUAAUUGAUGGAUAGUAUGAAUGGUUGAACGAAUAUUCCACUGUCUUAAAGAGAAUUAAAAGAAAUUGAAAUAAUAGUUAAGAUGCUAUUUUAAACUGUAAGACGAAAAGACCCUAUAGAGCUUAACUAUAAACUUUUUAUAAAAAAUUAAAAAUAAAUUUACUAAUUAAAAAGUUUGGUAGUUUAGUUGGGGCGACUAUCUUCUAAAAUAAACGAAGAUAAGCAAUAUUAAUAAAAAAUUUAUUGUAUAAAUAAAAAUUUUAACAAUUAUCAUAGUAGGCUAUAAUGACCCGUUUUUACUAAAAAAUAAGAAAAACGAUAAUUAAUAAAAGCUACCUUAGGGAUAACAGGAUAAUUUCAUUUUAGAGCUCAUAUCGAAAAUGAAGUUUGUCACCUCUAUGUUGAAUUAAGAUAUCCUGAUAAUGCAGAAG
RNAcentral lists this ribosomal RNA (564 nucleotides) under Obelia dichotoma (sea thread hydroid). Its description in RNAcentral is "partial large subunit ribosomal RNA". It matches the Rfam family "Bacterial large subunit ribosomal RNA", at positions 1810 to 2561 of the family's 2925-position model. Lineage: Eukaryota; Metazoa; Cnidaria; Hydrozoa; Leptothecata; Obeliidae. The record is from RNAcentral.